GACGAACGCUGGCGGCGUGCUUAACACAUGCAAGUCGAACGGAAAGGCCCUGCUUUUGUGGGGUGCUCGAGUGGCGAACGGGUGAGUAACACGUGAGUAACCUGCCCUUGACUUUGGGAUAACUUCAGGAAACUGGGGCUAAUACCGGAUAGGAGCUCCUGCUGCAUGGUGGGGGUUGGAAAGUUUCGGCGGUUGGGGAUGGACUCGCGGCUUAUCAGCUUGUUGGUGGGGUAGUGGCUUACCAAGGCUUUGACGGGUAGCCGGCCUGAGAGGGUGACCGGCCACAUUGGGACGGAGAGACGGCCCAGACUCCUACGGGAGGCAGCAGUGGGGAAUAUUGCACAAGGGGCGGAAGCCUGAUGCAGCAACGCCGCGUGCGGGAUGACGGCCUUCGGGUGGUAAACCGCUUUCGCCUGUGACGAAGCGUGAGGGACGGUAAUGGGUAAAGAAACACCGGCUAACUACGU
This 467-nucleotide ribosomal RNA is filed under the name uncultured bacterium. Its description in RNAcentral is "partial 16S ribosomal RNA". It matches the Rfam family "Bacterial small subunit ribosomal RNA", at positions 28 to 506 of the family's 1533-position model. The record is from RNAcentral.